Molecule: ribosomal RNA, 449 nt
Filed under: uncultured bacterium
Lineage: Bacteria
Description: partial 16S ribosomal RNA
Rfam family: Bacterial small subunit ribosomal RNA
Source: RNAcentral
AACGAACGCUGGCGGCAUGCCUAACACAUGCAAGUCGAACGAGAUCUUCGGGUCUAGUGGCGCACGGGUGCGUAACGCGUGGGAAUCUGCCCUUUGGUUCGGAACAACAGUUGGAAACGACUGCUAAUACCGGAUGAUGACGAAAGUCCAAAGAUUUAUCGCCAGAGGAUGAGCCCGCGUAGGAUUAGCUAGUUGGUGUGGUAAAGGCGCACCAAGGCGACGAUCCUUAGCUGGUCUGGGAGGAUGAUCAGCCACACUGGGACUGAGACACGGCCCAGACUCCUACGGGAGGCAGCAGUGGGGAAUAUUGGACAAUGGGCGAAAGCCUGAUCCAGCAAUGCCGCGUGAGUGAUGAAGGCCUUAGGGUUGUAAAGCUCUUUUACCCGGGAUGAUAAUGACAGUACCGGGAGAAUAAGCUCCGGCUAACUCCGUGCCAGCCGCCGCAGUAA